GCAGGGCCUUCUUGGAGGUCAGCGAAUCGCAGACCAUGUAGAUGGGACUGGUGGCAUUCAGAUCCUGGAAAUCUUGCAAAGCCUUAGCGAUGCUCCGGAAGUGGUUAUGGCGGAUUUUCACUGCGUGGACAAAGCGGGAAGAUUCCAUUGGGGGCCAACUGGUGGAGCACGCAGCGGAAGAACUGAAGGGCCACCGCCUGGGCACUGCAGGCCAAUGGUGGACCAUUCUCGCCCUGCCAGGCAUGGGUGCUGCUCAAACAGAUGCUGAAAUGGAGGGAAUCUUAGCCUGGAGUCUAGUCAUUUUCAGUAAACCCACUUACCGCGAUGUCAUGGUGAGAAUCUCGGGCAGAAACGGUGCUGCCAUGGCGGGUUCACGGUGUAUAAAGGUGCCUAGGAUCACAAUGAAGAUGCCAAUUUCCUCGUCCGUGUAUUCCUCAAUGUGGGCACCGCAGUCGGAACAGCGCUCCACAAUGGUGUAAUCGCCCACUCGACGGGAACUCUGCAGUUUCAGAGAUUUCAAAUAUUAAAAUAUUGACUAGGGUAUCAAAAUGCCUAAUGGGUACACCAACUUUUAGAACUUACCCCACGAGGGGCAUGAGUGGUGGACUGAGUGCCAUGUCCAUUGGAGGCCUCAGCCCCAACCUCAUCGUCAUCGUCAGGCUCGG
Long non-coding RNA from Drosophila gunungcola (fruit fly), 665 nucleotides. RefSeq lists it as uncharacterized. NCBI's taxonomy places the organism in Eukaryota, Metazoa, Arthropoda, Insecta, Diptera, Drosophilidae. The transcript has 3 exons. The record is from RefSeq and is a predicted model, not a curated record.